AUUGAACGCUGGCGGAAUGCUUUACACAUGCAAGUCGAACGGCAGCACGGACUUCGGUCUGGUGGCGAGUGGCGAACGGGUGAGUAAUGUAUCGGAACGUGCCCAGUCGUGGGGGAUAACGUAGUGAAAAUUACGCUAAUACCGCAUACGAUCUAUGGAUGAAAGCGGGGGAUCGCAAGACCUCGCGCGAUUGGAGCGGCCGAUAUCAGAUUAGGUAGUUGGGGGGGUAAAGGCCCACCAAGCCAACGAUCUGUAGCUGGUCUGAGGGGACGACCAGCCACACUGGAGCUGAGACACGGUCCAGACUCCUACGGGAGGCAGCAGUGGGGAAUUUUGGACAAUGGGCGAAAGCCUGAUCCAGCCAUUCCGCGUGCAGGAUGAAGGCCCUCGGGUUGUAAACUGCUUUUGUACAGAACGAAAAGGUUUCUACUAAUACUAGGAGCUCAUGACGGUACUGUAAGAAUAAGCACCGGCUAACUACGUGCCAGCCGCCGCCGUAA
Molecule: ribosomal RNA, 500 nt
Filed under: uncultured bacterium
Lineage: Bacteria
Description: partial 16S ribosomal RNA
Rfam family: Bacterial small subunit ribosomal RNA
Source: RNAcentral